AUCGAACACGGAGAUAGCUGGUUCUCCCCGAAAUAGCUUUAGGGCUAGCCUGAGGUAGUAAGUAUAGGCGGUAGAGCACUGAUCGGGCUAGGGGCCGUAAAGGUUACCGAACCCUGUCAAACUCCGAAUGGAUAUACUGUAGAGCCUUGGAGUCAGACUACGAGUGAUAAGAUCCGUGGUCAAAAGGGAAACAGCCCAGACCACCAGCUAAGGUCCCCAAUGUCGUACUAAGUGGAAAAGGAUGUGGGGUUUCAUAAACAACCAGGAUGUUGGCUCAGAAGCAGCCACCAUUUAAAGAGUGCGUAAUAGCUCACUGGUCGAGAGACCCUGCGCCGAAGAUUCCCGGGGCUAAAGUACGAAACCGAAGCUGUGGCUGUAUACGUAAAGUAUACGGGGUAGGGGAGCGUUCCCAUAGGGUAGAAGUCGAACUGGAAGGUUCGGUGGACUUGUGGGAAGUGAGAAUGUUGGUAUGAGUAGCGAAAAGAAAGGUGAGAAUCCUUUCCACCGAAAGCAUAAGGAUUCCUGAGCAACGAUCGUCGUCUCAGGGUAAGUCGGGACCUAAUCCGAGGCAGAGAGCGUAGGAGAUGGACAACUGGUUGAUAUUCCAGUACCGGUAGUAAUUGUUUGAGCAAUGGAGUGACACAGAAGGGCAGGCAAGCAUGCGAAUGGAAGAGCAUGUGUAAGCGUGUAGGGUGGUGCAUAGGCAAAUCCGUGCACUGAAAGCCUGAGGCGUGAUGCGGAGUGAGCAGAGAUGCGAGCGAAGUUGUUGACCCCACACUGUCGAGAAAAGCUUCUAGUGAGAGAGCUACCGCCCGUACCGUAAACCGACACAGGUAUGCGGGGAGAGAAUCCUAAGGUGCGCGGGAGAACCCUCGUUAAGGAACUCGGCAAAAUGUACCCGUAACUUCGGGAUAAGGGUAGCCACUGUUGUGAAGUCCCAUGCGGAUGGAGCAUAGAGUGGUCGCAGAGAAGAGGCCCAAGCGACUGUUUACCAUAAACACAGGUGCCUGCUAAAGCGAAAGCUGACGUAUAGGUGCUGACACCUGCCCAGUGCCGGAAGGUUAAGGAAGGAUGUUCGGAUUAGUCCAAAGCAUUCGACUGAAGCCCCGGUGAACGGCGGCCGUAACUAUAACGGUCCUAAGGUAGCGAAAUUCCUUGUCGGGUAAGUUCCGACCCGCACGAAAGGUGUAACGAUUUGGGCACUGUCUCAACGAGGGACCCGGUGAAAUUGAAAUACCUGUGAAGAUGCAGGUUACCCGCGACUGGACAGAAAGACCCCAUGGAGCUUUACUGUAACCUGACAUUGGGUUUUGAUACAUUACGUACAGGAUAGGUGGGAGGCUUGGAAAGCUGGACGCUAGUCUGGCUGGAGCCGACGUUGGGAUACCACCCUUGAUGUAUUGAAAUUCUAACCGCGAGAGUAACGAAAUCCGGGACAGUGUCAGGCGGGCAGUUUGACUGGGGCGGUCGCCUCCGAAAGAGUAACGGAGGCGCCCAAAGGUUCCCUCAGCGCGGCCGGAAAUCGCGCGAAGAGUGUAAAGGCAGAAGGGAGCUUGACUGCGAGUCAAACACGACGAGCAGGUACGAAAGUAGGGCUUAGUGAUCCGGUGGUACCGAGUGGAAGGGCCAUCGCUCAACGGAUAAAAGCUACCCUGGGGAUAACAGGCUAAUCUCUCCCAAGAGUCCAUAUCGACGGGGAGGUUUGGCACCUCGAUGUCGGCUCAUCACAUCCUGGGGCUGAAGUCGGUCCCAAGGGUUGGGCUGUUCGCCCAUUAAAGUGGUACGUGAGCUGGGUUCAGAACGUCGUGAGACAGUUCGGUCCCUAUCCAUCGCGGGCGCAAGAGAUUUGAAGGGGGCUGCUCCUAGUACGAGAGGACCGGAGUGGACGAACCGCUGGUGUACCAAUUAUCCCGCCAGGGGUACAGUUGGGUAGCUACGUUCGGAAAGGAUAAACGCUGAAAGCAUCUAAGCGUGAAACCAGCCUUAAGAUGAGAUCUCUCAUAGAGCAAUCUAGUAAGACACCUUAAAGAAGAUGAGGUUGAUAGGUCGGGAGUGUAAGUACAGCAAUGUAUUGAGCGGACCGAUACUAAUAUGUCGAGGGCUUGACUUA
RNAcentral lists this ribosomal RNA (2110 nucleotides) under metagenome. Its description in RNAcentral is "bacterial LSU rRNA". It matches the Rfam family "Bacterial large subunit ribosomal RNA", at positions 832 to 2925 of the family's 2925-position model. The record is from RNAcentral.